UGUCAUGGCUUGCCACCAUCUAUAUCUGC
Molecule: non-coding RNA, 29 nt
Filed under: Mus musculus (house mouse)
Lineage: Eukaryota; Metazoa; Chordata; Mammalia; Rodentia; Muridae
Source: RNAcentral